Molecule: ribosomal RNA, 852 nt
Filed under: uncultured Stenotrophomonas sp.
Lineage: Bacteria; Pseudomonadati; Pseudomonadota; Gammaproteobacteria; Lysobacterales; Lysobacteraceae
Description: bacterial SSU rRNA
Rfam family: Bacterial small subunit ribosomal RNA
Source: RNAcentral
AGAGUUUGAUCCUGGCUCAGAGUGAACGCUGGCGGUAGGCCUAACACAUGCAAGUCGAACGGCAGCACAGUAAGAGCUUGCUCUUACGGGUGGCGAGUGGCGGACGGGUGAGGAAUGCAUCGGAAUCUACUCUGUCGUGGGGGAUAACGUAGGGAAACUUACGCUAAUACCGCAUACGACCUACGGGUGAAAGCAGGGGAUCUUCGGACCUUGCGCGAUUGAAUGAGCCGAUGCCCGAUUAGCUAGUUGGCGGGGUAAGAGCCCACCAAGGCGACGAUCGGUAGCUGGUCUGAGAGGAUGAUCAGCCACACUGGAACUGAGACACGGUCCAGACUCCUACGGGAGGCAGCAGUGGGGAAUAUUGGACAAUGGGCGCAAGCCUGAUCCAGCCAUACCGCGUGGGUGAAGAAGGCCUUCGGGUUGUAGAGCCCUUUUGUUGGGAAAGAAAAGCAGUCGGUUAAUACCCGAUUGUUCUGACGGUACCCAAAGAAUAAGCACCGGCUAACUUCGUGCCAGCAGCCGCGGUAAUACGAAGGGUGCAAGCGUUACUCGGAAUUACUGGGCGUAAAGCGUGCGUAGGUGGUUGUUUAAGUCUGUCGUGAAAGCCCUGGGCUCAACCUGGGAAUUGCGAUGGAAAACUGGGGCGACUAGAGUGUGGCAGAGGGUAGUGGAAUUCCUGGGUGUAGCAGUGAAAUGCGUAGAGAUCAGGAGGAACAUCCGUGGCGAAGGCGACUGCCUGGGCCAACACUGACACUGAGGCACGAAAGCGUGGGGGAGCAAAACAGGAUUAGAUACCCUGGUANUCCACGCCCUAAACNAUGCGAACUGGAUGUUUGGUGCAUUUGGCNCNCA